AAAGUCGUAACAAGGUUUCCGUAGGUGAACCUGCGGAAGGAUCAUUACAAAUCCAAUGUCUCACUUGAGACCACGUUGAAAUGUUCCCCAGGCCAAGGAAGGGAGUCACGGACUAGCUCUAUGACACCACUACUUGACUGGGCUGUUAAACUAGUUAUUUUUGUUGCUCAGAUGUAUUUUGAUUUCAAUCAAACGAAAACAAUUACAACUUAUAACAAUGGAUCUCUAGGCUCUU
This 235-nucleotide unclassified non-coding RNA is filed under the name Basidiomycota sp. Its description in RNAcentral is "partial contains small subunit ribosomal RNA, internal transcribed spacer 1, and 5.8S ribosomal RNA". The stretch from base 1 to 47 matches the Rfam family "Eukaryotic small subunit ribosomal RNA", at positions 1785 to 1831 of the family's 1831-position model. Lineage: Eukaryota; Fungi; Basidiomycota. The record is from RNAcentral.